GUCACUGUUACACUGUUCACUUGUGAGCUGUGUUCAAUAAACGGAGAGCGGGCAGUUGCACGUGCGACUGAGGCCAGCUCGCGCUGUGAUAAAAACCCGCUUUCCACCUCUUCGUCAUCUUCGACCCAUAGUAGCUGAAUUUCCACCGGCACCCUGCAGUUUACUGGACGGGCGGACGUUGUUAACCCGAGCCACGACCAAUCUGCUCACAGACACGAGAAGAAAGGACAGCAGCACCGCUUGGAAGAAGCUCAUGACGGACAACGGAUCCAGCAGUCACUGGAGCUCCUCUCCUGUCUCCUGUCUUUAUCCACUCGGGUUCCCUCACCUCACUUCCCGCCC
Molecule: long non-coding RNA, 342 nt
Organism: Phyllopteryx taeniolatus (common seadragon)
Lineage: Eukaryota; Metazoa; Chordata; Actinopteri; Syngnathiformes; Syngnathidae
Exons: 3
Source: RefSeq, a predicted model, not a curated record